UUUUUUUUUUUGGGUAAAUGUCACUGAGGUAUUACAUACAUAUAAGAAAAGUUCAUAAAGCACAGGUCCCAGGUUUCAUGAAUUUUCACAAACUGAACACAUCCAGGUCAUCAGCAUCCAGGUCCAGAAACAGAACACUAGCAGGACCCCUUCAAAGGCGGCCUUUAAAAAAUUCCAACCAAGGUGACUCUGUUCACUAAGCCAGUGUUCCCCAGGCUGUGACCAGCCUAAGAGGCACCUUUUCCAAGUCUGCACAAGAAUCUUCUACGUGCUCAUGGUGUCUGCAGACAGGUGGGCACGCCCCUCGAGAACGUACCACCCACAGAGAGGGACAGGUAGGGACUGAGGUGACAACCACAGGAUGCAGGAUGGGGCAAGUGACACUGCAGAGAGGGAGGCCCUCCUAGGUCCACACCCCUCCUCUCUCCCUGACUCAGUCCCAUCUCCUCCCCACAUUAAUAUCACAUCCUCUCACUAUCGGAGCUGGGAGGGGACACCAGGAUGAGACGCUCACUGUCCAUGGGACAGGAAGAAGCAACCAGGGUCACUGUCUUGCGUUUGAAUGUUGCCAUUUGGCUGCUAGGCGAAUAGUGGAAGUGAGUACGUUUUAGUGCUUCAUGGAAAAGAUCACUAUCGAGGCAUCUGAGGCUUCCUCACCUGACUUCUCCAGAGCCUGAGGAAAAGAGCCUGAUCAGGCCCUCCCCUGGCACGUGUUAAUUCUUUUCAAAGCGGCACACAACUUCUGCCCAUCACCAGACUCACAUGCCACAAGGACUGGACCCCAGAGCGCCGUCCCUAGAGCAAAACUGAGACUGCUCAAGGGAUACUAAAAUGCGGACUAGAUGAAUGCAAAGGCUAUAAAAAAAAAAAAAAGAAAAAUAUGCUAUAACUGGGAGUGGUUAAUGUCAUGGUCCAGUGGUUAAUGAAUCUGACAAGGAACCAUGAGAUGUUCCAUUUUCUACUUAAUGUUCCUUUCCAAUGAAGUUUCAAGACGAGUGUCUAGGAUGCCCUGCCUACCUGGCAGCCCUCGAAGGACCAGAAUCUGGACCUCUCGCCAGAGAACAUGGUUGGAAGGUGGGGUUUCAUCAGAAAAUAUGCAGCAAUCAUAUAGAUAACUGUUCUUUCCCAAAAGCUCCAAGGUUUGCAAACAUAAAGUUCUCAUUCAUCUUGCUGCUGAGCAUUUUUUUUUUUUUUUGUCUUUUCUAGGGCUGCACCAGCGGCAUAUGGAGGUUCCCAGGCUAGGGGUCUAAUCAGAACUGUGGCUGCCGGCCUAUGCCACAGCCACAGUAAUGCGGGAUCCGAGCCACAUCUGUGACCUACACCACAGCUCACGGCAACGCCAGAUACUUAACUCACUGAGCGAAGCCAGGGAUCGAACCCACAACCUCAUGGUUCCUAGUCAGAUUCGUUAACCUCUGAGCCACAACAGGAACUCCUGCUGAGCACUUCUCAGUCAGUGGAAUGUUCAAGUUCAAGGUCAGGAAGAGAAUCAACAGUGAGGGAAAGAUGGGAGAGUUCAGCGUGGGAGCUGCAGACCUGGGCGUCCUGCUGGGCCAGGUGCUUGGCUAGGGAGGCCUGAGACCUGGUGUUUUCCUGGCAGAGGUCAAAGCUUCUCCCCAGUUCCUGAUGCAAGGUCCCAGCCUGACACCACCAGGACAUCUUCCUGAAAAGGUGUUCCAACGUACUCGGGGCCCUUUAUUUCAGCCGGGGAUGCAAGGCACCCCAUGUCUCCAGGCAGAGCCCCCCGCCCCUGCCGCCCCACACCCAGCUGGGAGACCCUCUGCAUUGGGCUCCUGGAAGCCCAGCAAGGCUGCCCUGGCCCUGGGGGGACAGCGGGGGGGGGGGGCAGCCAUCUCUUCAAGGGACACUUGCAGGACUGUUCUACCCAGUUCUAUGCCUCAGACCUCACCUGCUCUCCUGAUUCGUGUUUCCUCCUCUGCCUCACACUCCUGGUCCCCACUUCCAUUUGCUGACAUCUCCCCCCUAAUGAACUAUUCAAUCUCUGGUCUUGGCUCUGCUGUUUCAGGGCGUCCCGAGCCACACAGGCGGGAUCCCUGCAUGUGUCCAAGCCAGGGCUGUGUGCACAGGGGCUGCCAGGGGACAGCACUUUGCCUACCCAGGAUAGGAAGUUCCUGGGCCCCCCUCCACCACUGAAGACAGGAAGAGAAGAAAUGGCUUGCAGGCCUCUGCUCUCCCUCCAAUAACUAAUACUUCACGGAGCGUUUGCUAGGUGCCGGAAUUAUGCUAAUUUGUAGGGUUAAAUUUCAGGAGAUUCUAGACUGCUUCCUGCGAAAUGGGCUCUAGUGUCCCCCAGAGUGUCCUAAAGCUUCAGUAUGAUAUGCUACCAAAUCGGGAGAUGGAAGUGGGGUCCCAGAUUUGACCCCAAGGUGGUUUGAGUUCCACCUCACACCCCUGCCCAUGACCAUGGGGCACAGGCCCCGGAAGGCAGCAUGGACUUGGGGAACCAUGAGAGACUUCUUCUGGGGAGAAAGGACAGAUAACCAGCUCUUUGAUGCCGUGACUUCAGGGUGCAGAGACGUUGCAUGCCAUCCUGGCAGGGACAUAUGGCGCUGAAGUAAGGCAGGACCAGGGUUGCAUGAAGGAGCAGCCAUGUCCCUUCUCUGACACCCGAGAUUUUGUUUCCAUAUUGGAAAAUGUGGAUUAUAAAAACUAUUUUACACUUAUUACUGAGAUUAAAAGAUUACACAAAGUAAGCACCUGUGACUUGUACAUAAUAAGUGCCCAAUGUGUGGCAGCCAUCCGUGCUGACAUUGUUCUUAGUGAUGCUAAAAUAGCCUCAGAGCAUUGCAUCUGUCCUCGUGCCUGGCGCUGAAGGUCUGGAGACCAGGUGCAGCCACAUGCUGGACUGGGCAGGACUGGUGGGGACCCUGGAUGCUGCAUUUGGGAAAGAGGAGUGGCCACUGCCAUAGGCCUUCCCUAGGACUCAGAACCAGCUAAGGCGGGAGGAGCUGGAGGCAGUGGCUCUCGGGGCCCAAGUCACUAUACAGAAGGGUGCCUGCUGAACACGGCAUCAGACCUUUCCAGAGUGAGAAUCAAGCUUCUACAGCAUUAAACCAAUGAAAUCUGGGGUUCUCUCUCUGUCGGCAGCUAGGGAUACCUUAAGAAAUUCAACAAGGUACUUUCUGAGCAUCCUUCCACCUUUAUGGGAUCCAGAAGGUGGAUGGACGUGCUUUCCAUACCCACAUCCAAGUCACACGGGGGAGAUGCUGAACCACGGAGCCCUGCAGUCAAAGGCCAGGCUCGGCCUGGGGGAAGCUGCUUCAUGACCAAAGUGGCAUGAGCUGGUGGCAGAUGCUGGCAGCAGUGAGCUCUGUGGGCAGGCCGUUUGACACAGGCUCUGUUGUUCACAUGUUUGCCACUCUGUCACAUGCAGUUAACAGAGCUCAACAGGACCUGACAGAAAAUCACUACAACCAGAGCAUUCUAUGGAUUUGUCCAAAGCCCAAUAGCCAGUUAGUGGCAAAGCUAAAAUCUCUUGGUUUUGUAGCCCAGAAGGUACCCCCUAGAGGCAGACGUUCUCAUAGAAUGUGUCAAGGUCACAUGAAGGGCACUCUCUUUCUGAUAUUUACUGCUCCAAGGGCACAUCCAGAUCAUCUGAAGGCAGAGAAUAAUUGUAACUCCCUCCCUCCCAGGACACGUGCCCCCAAUAAAUCCCCGAAGACAUGUCCCCAGACAACAGGCUUCAGCCAGUGACCAAAUCCAACACCUGCCUGCAGGCAAAGGGUGGACUGAGAAUGACCACCUUUGUUCUUACUGCCAGGAAAGGGAAAGUCUGUAAUUAUACCAACCCUAAGGAGAGACAUGGAUUUCCCAACUUUCACACUUUUUCACCUGUAAAUAUUAGCUUUCCCAUUGAAGCAGCUUAUACGCCAUUUCCCAUGCUUUCCAACAUUGAAUUAAAAGGCUGCCAGCACUCCCUGCACCUGCCCUUCCAAAGCUGCCUCAGAAUAAGCUUUCUCUGCCGAUGCAGCCUCUUCCCUCCUGCAUGUUUGCAAGGGUCACGGAAGCCACACUCAUAAAGGCAGCCUGGGGUCCUGGACAGAGUCAGAGUGAGUCAGAAUUCGAGUGCUGAAGGCUUGUCAGACUCUGUCCACAUCUGGACAAUGGAGAUAAAGGUCAUGGGAGUCUCCGCAAAGGGUUCUUACAAGAAGAGCGAGAUCCCAGGACCUGGUACAUAACACCUGCUCUUUUCUUUUUACGUACUUACUAAAUGAGUUAAACCUUAGAAGAUGAAUCUUUUUAUAAGAGGUUGUAGCAGAGGCUGCUGGCGGGCUGCCCACGGACCCUCACCUUGACCAAUGCAGUGCACACCUGCCUGACUUCCGCCGGCUGACACCUGUGAGUCUCUGCCUGGGGGCUGAUGUGGGCUGUCAGAGACAACUCUGUUCUCGGCCAGAAACUCCAGGGGCCCAAUGUCCCCCAGAGCCCCUCUCAGCCAACAGCUGGCAGGAGCUGUGGAUAAACAUCCACUUCCUCAUUUCCUGUGUGUGUCCCAUACCCCACCCCCCAUGUCCCCAGUGGGACUGAGGUGCUGUCACCCCCAGGAGUCAAGGGAUAGCUGUUUGGAAGGGCAGAUCAGGGGGUGGGAAAGUGAGACAAGGCUGGGAAGACAACAAGAGAGGGUCCAUCAUUAAGGAAGUUAGAACUGUGGGUUAGAACUUCCUUAAUGAUUCAUUCAUCUCUCUUCUUCCCAUCCCUAUCUCAUUUUCCCCCUCCCUGAACUGCACGGCCAAACAAAUGACAUGCCCUUGAAUCUCUGUCCCUGGGACCUGUAGCCAGAGACCAGGUGGAAUGGGUGCCGUCGAGGGAAUACAGGUGGGGCACUCGCAACUAGACAUCAUAU
This 4864-nucleotide long non-coding RNA is filed under the name Sus scrofa (pig). Its description in RNAcentral is "lncRNA (ENSSSCG00025072890.1)". The record is from RNAcentral. Lineage: Eukaryota; Metazoa; Chordata; Mammalia; Artiodactyla; Suidae.